This 550-nucleotide ribosomal RNA is filed under the name uncultured bacterium. RNAcentral describes it as "bacterial SSU rRNA". It matches the Rfam family "Bacterial small subunit ribosomal RNA", at positions 68 to 594 of the family's 1533-position model. The record is from RNAcentral.
GUAUUUUUGUAGCAAUAUGAGGAUACGGGAGUGGCGAAAGGGUGCGUAACACGUGGGUAAUUUGUCUGAGAGUUCAGGAUAAUUCGCUGAAAGGCGGAGUAAUACUGGAUGUGGAUAUUGGUUGGGAACAGCUGAUAUCUAAAGCCGGGGACCGCAAGGCCUGGUGCUCUUAGGUAAGCCCGCGACCUAUCAGCUAGUUGGUGAGGUAAGAGCCCACCAAGGCGGAGACGGGUAGCUGGUCUGAGAGGACGACCAGCCACACUGGAACUGAGACACGGUCCAGACACCUACGGGUGGCAGCAGUCGAGAAUUUUUCUCAAUGGGGGAAACCCUGAAGGAGCGACGCCGCGUGGGGGAUGAAGGGCUUCGGCUCGUAAACCCCUGUCAUUUGUGAGCAAGUGUUAUUGUUUAAGAGAUGAUGACAUUGAUAGUAGCAAAAGAGGAAGGGACGGCUAACUCUGUGCCAGCAGCCGCGGUAAUACAGAGGUCCCAAGCGUUGUUCGGAAUCACUGGGCGUAAAGGGUGCGUAGGCGGUAUGGUAAGACUUGGG